Molecule: ribosomal RNA, 496 nt
Filed under: uncultured bacterium
Lineage: Bacteria
Description: partial 16S ribosomal RNA
Rfam family: Bacterial small subunit ribosomal RNA
Source: RNAcentral
GAUGAACGCUGGCGGCGUGCCUAAUACAUGCAAGUCGAGCGAACAGACAAGGAGCUUGCUCCUCUGACGUUAGCGGCGGACGGGUGAGUAACACGUGGAUAACCUACCUAUAAGACUGGGAUAACUUCGGGAAACCGGAGCUAAUACCGGAUAAUAUAUUGAACCGCAUGGUUCAAUAGUGAAAGACGGUUUUGCUGUCACUUAUAGAUGGAUCCGCGCCGCAUUAGCUAGUUGGUAAGGUAACGGCUUACCAAGGCGACGAUGCGUAGCCGACCUGAGAGGGUGAUCGGCCACACUGGAACUGAGACACGGUCCAGACUCCUACGGGAGGCAGCAGUAGGGAAUCUUCCGCAAUGGGCGAAAGCCUGACGGAGCAACGCCGCGUGAGUGAUGAAGGUCUUCGGAUCGUAAAACUCUGUUAUUAGGGAAGAACAAAUGUGUAAGUAACUAUGCACGUCUUGACGGUACCUAAUCAGAAAGCCACGGCUAACUACGU